Non-coding RNA from Lasiosphaeria ovina, 74 nucleotides. The record is from the annotation of a GenBank genome assembly. Lineage: Eukaryota; Fungi; Ascomycota; Sordariomycetes; Sordariales; Lasiosphaeriaceae.
UCCCUCGUGGUGCAAUUGGUUAGCGCGUCAGACUAUUAAUUUCGAGGCUAUUGGUUCGACCCCAACCCCCAGAA